This 253-nucleotide ribosomal RNA is filed under the name uncultured bacterium. RNAcentral's name for it is "partial 16S ribosomal RNA". It matches the Rfam family "Bacterial small subunit ribosomal RNA", at positions 524 to 776 of the family's 1533-position model. The record is from RNAcentral.
UACGGGGGGGGCAAGCGUUGUUCGGAAUUACUGGGCGUAAAGGGCUCGUAGGUGGCCAACUAAGUCAGACGUGAAAUCCCUCGGCUUAACCGGGGAACUGCGUCUGAUACUGGAUGGCUUGAGUUUGGGAGAGGGACGCGGAAUUCCAGGUGUAGCGGUGAAAUGCGUAGAUAUCGAGAGGAACACCAGAGGUGAAGACGGGUUGCUGGGCCGACACUGACGCUGAGGCGCGAAAGCCAGGGGAGCAAACGGG